RNAcentral lists this ribosomal RNA (897 nucleotides) under uncultured bacterium. RNAcentral describes it as "bacterial SSU rRNA". It matches the Rfam family "Bacterial small subunit ribosomal RNA", at positions 8 to 916 of the family's 1533-position model. The record is from RNAcentral.
AGAGUUUGAUCAUGGCUCAGGAUGAACGCUAGCGGGAGGCCUAACACAUGCAAGUCGAACGGGAUCCAUGAGCAAUCGUGGUGAGAGUGGCGCACGGGUGAAAACGCGUAUGUGCGUGGGAUUAAGAGAUGGAUAGCCGAUAUAAAUGUGGAUUAUUACCUCAAAGUUCUGAGAUUUCGCAUGGGAUUUCAUAUAAAGCUCCUGCGGUUAAAGAUGGGCAUGCGUGACAUUGGCUAGGUGGUAAGGUAACGGCUUACCAAGGCUACCAUGUCUGAGGGUUCUGAGAGGAUGAUCCCCCACACUGGGACUGACACACGGACCAGACUCCUACUGGAAGCAACACUGGGGAAUAGGGGUCAAUGGGCACAAGCCUGAACCAGCCGUCCCGCGUGAAGGAUGAAGGUCCUAUGGAUUACAACUUCUUUUGACAGAAGGAAAAACUACCACGAGUGGGAGCCCGUUGUGGGUAUGAAUAAGAUCGGCUAACUGGAUGGCGCGCCGCGGUAAUAGGGAGGAUGCGACCGUUAUCCGGAUUUCUUGGGUUUAAAGGAUGCGUAGGCGGCUCUUUCAGUCAGUGGCGAAAUCCUGCGGCAUAAAGGGUGAAUUGCCAUUGAGACUGAAUCCCUUGACUAAGGUUGAGGUAGGCAGAAUGUGUAGAGUACCGGUGAAAUGCGUAAAACUUACACAGAACACCGAUUGCGAAGCGCGCUUACUAAACUGGUAACAGACGAUGAUGUACUUGAUCGUGCAGAGCGAAAAAGAUGAGAGACCCUGGUAGUCCACACCGCAGACGAUGCUCACUCGCUGUAUGCAAUACAUAGUACGCGGCCAGCGGAAGCAUUAAGUGAGCCACCUGGGGAGUACGAUCGCAGGUUGAAAACUCAAAGGAAUUGACGG